This 359-nucleotide ribosomal RNA is filed under the name Dolosigranulum pigrum. Its description in RNAcentral is "bacterial SSU rRNA". It matches the Rfam family "Bacterial small subunit ribosomal RNA", at positions 1 to 348 of the family's 1533-position model. Lineage: Bacteria; Bacillati; Bacillota; Bacilli; Lactobacillales; Carnobacteriaceae. The record is from RNAcentral.
UUUAAACAUGAGAGUUUGAUCUUGGCUCAGGACGAACGCUGGCGGCAUGCCUAAUACAUGCAAGUCGAACGAUGAUAUCACUGCUUACAGUGAUUGAUUAGUGGCGAACGGGUGAGUAACACGUGAGGAACUUGCCCAUGAGCGGGGGACAACAUUCGGAAACGGAUGCUAAUACCCCAUAGGUGGAUUGGUCGCAUGACGAAUUCAUUAAAGGUGGCUUCGCUACCACUCAUGGAUAGCCUCGCGGCGUAUUAGCUAGUUGGUAAGGUAAUGGCUUACCAAGGCAGUGAUACGUAGCCGACUUGAGAGGGUGAUCGGCCACACUGGGACUGAGACACGGCCCAGACUCCUACGGGAGG